RNAcentral lists this non-coding RNA (30 nucleotides) under Cricetulus griseus (Chinese hamster). The record is from RNAcentral. Lineage: Eukaryota; Metazoa; Chordata; Mammalia; Rodentia; Cricetidae.
UGAUACAGCUGUGCCUCUGAGAUGUGUAGU